Molecule: RNA transcript, 6948 nt
Organism: Fundulus heteroclitus (mummichog)
Lineage: Eukaryota; Metazoa; Chordata; Actinopteri; Cyprinodontiformes; Fundulidae
Gene name: thrombospondin type-1 domain-containing protein 7A
Exons: 29
Source: RefSeq, a predicted model, not a curated record
CUCUGUGUGCAGGAGAGAGAGAAACAGAGAGAGACGCUGCAUCAAACCGGCAUGCAGCAGCAGUAGCAGGCUGGGCUUUGGGAUCCAUUGUUCCAUGUUUUUUCCACUACUGGAGCGUAUUCCUUCACAACAAGAAGCCUGAGUAGAAAAAGCAAAGCAAAACACAGAAACAUUAAUGGACAUCGUCUUUGUCUGGCCUGGAUUAUCUCUACUUGAGCAUACUGUUGUGGACAAAGGAGAAAACACACUUCCCACUGCUGUUGGUCAGGCUUGCAAUUGACUGCAUUGGGAAGUAAGCGCUCGUAGUGUGGUGGCUAUGGGGCUGCCUGGCGGAGCUUUGCUGGGGAUUUUGAAACAACCACCAUGCCUCUUCAUCUGGAAGUUAUCGCUGCUCUUUCUCUCUGUGUGGGCACUUGAUGCACAGACCACAGUGGAAACUAAACCCCUGUACAUCUGGCAAACAGGUCCAUGGGGUCGGUGUAUGGGAAGUGAGUGCGGACCUGGAGGCAGCCAGAGCAGAGCAGUGUGGUGCGCCCAUUCUGAAGGCUGGACCACUCUCCACACAAACUGUGACCAGACAGAGCGGCCAGACAACCAGCAGAGCUGCUUCAGAGUGUGCGACUGGCACAAAGAUCUCUAUGAAUGGCAGCUGGGUGCUUGGAACCAGUGUGUCCCAGUAAUGAUGCGCAGUGCCGGGGUGCAGCGUCCAACAGUGUGCACACGGGGAGAGGAGGGUAUACAGACACGUGAAGUGGGCUGUGUUCAGAAAGCUGAUGGCGAGCCUGCGGAGGACGCAAUUUGUGAAUACUUUGAGCCUAGACCACGGCAAGAACAGGCAUGUCUUAUCCCAUGUCCUCGGGACUGUGUGGUGUCUGAGUUCAGCCCAUGGACUUUGUGUUCUAAAACAUGUGGGAUUGGCUUACGGAAUCGGAUACGCUUUGUUCUGGCACCACCACUGUUUGGUGGGUCUGCCUGCCCAAAUUUGACAGAAUUUCAGACGUGCCAGCCUGGCCUGUGUGAAGGAGAGGAAAACCUUUACAGCCUCAGAGUUGGACCUUGGGGCUCUUGUUCUGUACCUUUGCCAAGGCAGGCCAGACAUGCUGAAAAACCACCCAGAGAGAGCAACAAAAGAUCCAGGGAAAGUGAUAAACCUGCUAAAGAGGGCAGCAAACAGUCAAGAGACAGUGAUACAGCAUCCAAAGGAGGUGACAAACAGGCCAGAGAAGACAACAAACAGUCCAUAAGAGGGAAAAAAAAGAUGAGAGAUGAUGAAAAACAGUAUCAAGAAAAGGACACCAAGUCUACAGUAGGUGAGGAGAAAGUGUCCAAAAAUGGUAACAAACCCUCCUCGGGCAACAGGAAAUUGAUCAGAGGAAACGGAAAACAAGACAAAGCAUUCAGACAAACAGAUCGGCCCAGACGACAGAAAAAGGUCAAAAACAAGGCAAAAAAAGAGAAAAUAAGGGGGAAAGUCAAAGGAAGAUUGAGAGAAGUAAAAGACCCUGAGACAAGAGAGCUAAUCAAAAAGAAGAGGAACAAGAAUCGGCAGAAUCGCCCAGGAGGAAAAUCUUGGGAUCUGCAAGUUGGCUACCAGACCAGAGAAGUGACCUGUGUCCAUAAGAGUGGGAACAUUGAAGCUCUGAGCCUGUGCUCUCAAGAGACACUGCCAGUGACAUACCAGGCCUGCGUAAUUCCUAGAGACUGUGAUGUGACUGAGUGGUCCGAAUGGUCAGCGUGUUCUAAGCAGUGUCAUGACCCCAACGGGGCAAAAGGGGAGCGCACUCGCAGAAAGGAAGUGAGCCAAUUCCCAAUCGGUGGAGGGGCAGAGUGCCCUGAACUUGAAGAAAAAGAGCCAUGCAGCCCCCAGGAAGGAGCAGCCCCACCAUGCACUGUCUACAAGUGGAAGACCACCGAGUGGACAGAGUGUAGGGUGGACAUGCUGCUGAGCCAGCAGGACCGUCGGCGUGGAAACCUGACAGGCUUGUGUGGAGGUGGAAUCCAGACACGCGAGGUCUAUUGUGUGCAGGCUGGUGUUGAUGCUCCACCGAAUCUCAGUUCACUCAGGAGUAGAGAAGGUUUGCGGCCAGUGGACAGUGAACUGUGUUUGGGGGUUCCUCCAAACACCACACAGCUAUGCCAUAUAAGAUGUCCCGUGGAGUGUGAGGUGUCUUUAUGGAGCGCUUGGGGACCCUGCACUUAUGAAAACUGUCAAGACCAGACCACUAAAAAAGGUUUUAAGCCAAGGAAGCGAAGGAUCAUCAAUGAGCCCACGGAUGGGACAGGAAACUGCCCUCAUCUGGUGGAGGCCAUACCGUGUGAGGAACCCAGCUGCUUUGAGUGGCUUGUGGUUAAACUGGAGGAGUGUGUCCCUGACAAUGAGAAGGAGUGUGGACCUGGAAUACAAAUUCCCCAAGUCCAGUGUAUCAACAGUGAUGGUGAAAAAGUGGAAAAACAACUUUGCCGGGAUUCCAUCCUUCCUAUGCCCACCAUCUGUGAGGUGCCUUGCCCCAAGGACUGUGCUCUGAGCCCUUGGACUCCCUGGUCAUUUUGCUCCCACACCUGCUCUGGAAAAAACACAGAGGGGAAGCAGACCAGAGUCCGGUCUAUCCUUGCACAUAACGCAGGAGAAGGAGGACUCCAGUGUCCCAAUGUUAGUGCACUACAGGAGGUGAGGAACUGCAAUGACCACCCUUGCACUGUGUACCAUUGGCAAACGGGUCCUUGGGGCCAGUGCAUAGAGGACUCGUCGAUCCCAUCCACCAAUGCGUCUGUGGGGAGACUGCGUGGCGACGAUGUCUCAUGCUCAGUGGGAAUGCAAACCCGCAAAGUCAUUUGUGUUCGGGUCAAUGUGGGCCAAGUUCCUCCUAAAAAGUGUCCAGAGAGUCUUCGCCCAGACACUGUAAGGCCAUGCUUGCUUCCCUGCAAAAGAGACUGCACCGUCACACCAUACAGUGACUGGAGCCCCUGCCCACCAACUUGUCAAACAGGUGGUAAGACUAAAAGUAAGCAGUACAGGAAACGGAUGAUCAUCCAGGUACCUGCUAAUGGUGGACAGGACUGUCCUGAGAUUUUGACCCAGGAAAGAGAAUGUGAUGCACUGUCAGUUUGUCAUGGAUACAGGUGGAAAACCCACAAGUGGCGUAGAUGUCAGCUUGUCCCAUGGUCAGUCAGACAGGACACUCCUGGAGCUCAGGAGACCUGUGGGCCGGGCUUGCAGUUUAGAGCUGUUUCUUGUCGAAAGCUAGACGGUGGACAAGCAGAUGUCGAGGCUUGUCUUAAGCUUGCCACCCCCAUGCCACCUCUCACCCAGCUGUGCCAUCUUCCUUGUCAAGAUGACUGUCAGCUCAGUAGCUGGUCCAAGUUUUCUACCUGCACAGCUGACUGUGUGGGCGUAAGGACCCGCAAGAGGAUGCUAGUAGGAAAAAGUAAAAAGCGUGACCAGUGCAAAAACAACCAGAUGUAUCCUCUGAGCGAGACGCAGUACUGUCCAUGUAAUAAAUACAAUGCUCAGCCCGUGGGUAACUGGUCAGACUGUAUCCUGCCGGAGGGUAGUCGCAUGGAGAGCCAGCUCGGUAUGAGAGUACAAGGUGACAUUAAGGAGUGUGGCCAAGGAUACCGCUACCAAGCCAUGGUGUGCUAUGACCAGGACAACCGCAUAGUGGAAACGUCUCGCUGCAACAGCCAUGGGUAUAUUGAGGAGGCUUGCAUCAUCCCCUGUCCAUCUGACUGCAAAUUAAGUGAGUGGUCCAACUGGUCCCGCUGCAGCAAGUCAUGUGGCAGUGGGGUCAAGGUUCGCUCUAAGUGGCUCAGAGAAAAGCCAUAUAAUGGGGGAAGACCUUGUCCCAAACUGGACCAUGUCAACCAGGCUCAAGUGUAUGAGGUGGUGCCCUGUGUCAGUGACUGUGGACAGUAUGUUUGGGUGGCAGAGCCUUGGAGUCUCUGGAAAGUCAGCAGUGUGGACCUGAAGACCAACUGUGGUGAAGGAGUGCAGACCCGAAAAAUCCGGUGUAUGCUCAACACUAUUGAUGGACCAUCGGAGCAGGUGGAAGACUACCUUUGUGACCCAGAAGAGAUGCCUCUAGGGGCCCGUAACAGCCGUCUGCCCUGCCCUGAGGACUGUGUGCUGUCGGAUUGGGGAAGUUGGAGCGCAUGUCCACUGCCCUGCAGUGAGAACAGUACACGUGCAAGGGUUGCUUUCCCACUCCGGAAGCCAGGAAAGGAGAAGAAAUGUCCUCCUACAAAAGAGACAGAACCGUGUAAAAUAAACAGCAACUGCUUUCACUACUCAUACAACAUCACAGACUGGAGCACCUGUCAACUCAGCGACAGAGCGGUGUGUGGCUAUGGCAUCAAAACCCGCAUGCUUGACUGUGUGCGUAGUGAUGGAAAAUCUGUUGACCUCAGCUUUUGUAAAGAGCUGGGUCUAGAGAGGAAGUGGCAGAUGAAUGCUUCCUGUGUAGUGGAAUGUCCCGUCAACUGCCAGCUAUCUGAAUGGUCAACAUGGUCGAAGUGUACACACACCUGUGGCUUGACAGGUAAACUGUGGAGGGCACAGACUAUAAUUCAGGCCCCACAAGGUGAUGGGAGGCCAUGCCCAUCCCAGAUGAAACAAUGGAAGCCUUGUUCAGUUAAGCCUUGCUACAGCUGGCGAUACAGUGCCUGGUCUGAAUGCCAGUCAGAGGGGGCGAGGUGUGGAGAAGGUGUGCGCUUCAGGAAUGUGUCUUGCUUUGUGUCAGAUGGUUCUGGUCAGCAGGACAGUAGGGUGGUUGAUGAGGAGCUUUGUGGAGAUGUGGAUCUUUCAGUGAAUGGAGAUAGACAAAUUAUUCUACAGGAGCCUUGUUCUGUACCCUGUCCAGGAGAAUGCUACCUGACAGAAUGGACUGUCUGGAGUCCAUGUCAGUUAAGCUGUGUGAGUGGGGAUGACCUAGGUUUUGGUUCAGUCCAAGUUCGAUCCAGAGCUGUUGUUGCUCAGGAUCCAGAAAACCUGCUUGAGUGUCCUGAACAAGAACUGGAGGCACGUCCAUGUACAGGUGGACAAUGUUUUGAAUACAAGUGGAGGACUGGACCAUGGAGAGGCUCAUCUCGUCAUGUCUGGUGUGAGCGCUCUGAUGGGAUGAAUGUUACAGGUGGUUGUCUGGCAGCAGUCAAACCAAUGGCGGAUCGAUCCUGUGACCCUCCAUGUAUCAUGCCAUGGUCUUUGUGCACAGAGGCAGGCGUGUGUGGCUGUGAAGAGGGCUACACUGAAGUAAUGACAUCGGAUGGUGCGUUGGAUCAGUGCACUGUUAUCCCAGUGCUGGAGAUCCCAACUGCAAGUGACAACAAAGCUGACGUCAAGACAAUCCGAGCAUUCAACCCCCUCCAGCCUGCAGCUAGCACACCAGGCAGAGCAGGAAGAACCUGGUUCUUGCAACCCUUUGGUCCAGAUGGGACACUGAAGACCUGGGUGUAUGGAGUUGCUGCAGGAGUGUUUGUUUUACUCAUCUUUAUCAUAUCAAUGACAUAUUUAGCCUGUUAUUGUGGUCGUUGCCUUUGCCGCAAGUUGAGGUCUGAAUCCACCUCAGAUGGGGCUUACUGGAUGGAACCGAGCACCCAUACAGUGCCUUACACCUGUCCCGCCUGCCAGAAACUAGAGCAAGAUGAGUUUAAUCGGGAGAGCCAGCUUCAACAUGAGCCACAGCAUCAGUGUGUCCAGCAGCCUCCAUCUUCACAGCACCAUUUACAGCUGGAACAGUCCCUGCCACCACCUCACUCUGAAACACUUAUCACUUAGUCAGGGCCUUGCCCACACCCUGUUCCGUGUUCACUGUUCACUGCACAAGCAAACAGUAUGUGCCUUAACACAGAGCACCUCUUGUCUCCCAGUGGAUCACAUCUUGUAGUGAGCAAAAAGCCAAAGAAGCCACAGCGACGGCAGAUGAACAACAGACUGAAGCCUCUGACUCUGGCCUAUGAUGGAGAUGCCGACAUGUAGAAGUCUUCCUCUUCACAGACGUACUGUACAAAAUUCUGUCCUUGUUUGGGAGGCAGGGUCACUGUUAAUACCCGUAUAUAACAGGGUCACUACAGGGCAAUAGUCAGCAAAUACGCAGACUAACUUUCUGACGUGGAAUAGAAACCUCUGAACUAAAGACACCUAAACUCCAUGUUUAUUAGCAGCCUUGAUGUUCCUGUUUUCCAUUUCUAUGUUUUAAAUGUGUACAUUGUUUUAUAAGAGCCUUCAUGACCUCGCUGUCUUCCUCUGGAAGUCUGCCUUUGCUUCUUUCUACCAUCGACUGCAUUUAAACCAUAUUCAGUGGAGAGGGGGAAAAAAUAAGAAAUUUAGCUGUAAAAGCACAAAUAUUAAUUCAUCAGUUGUUAAUUUUGUUACAGCUUAGUUGCAUGGUCUUUGCUCCACUUGUUGCUCAUGGACCUUGAAAGAACUUUCAGUCUUCUAUUUGACGUUAUUGGAUGGAAGCAAUAGUAAAGCAAAAAUAUCACAAAAAAAGAAAAGUGAGCACAAAGGAUCCUCGAGCUGCCAUCACUUCUGCCUGCCCCUCCUCUCUUAUUUCCAGGCAUAAUUUUGCACUAUAUUAGUGCAGCAUGAUAUGUACUUAUGUCUCCCUUUGCCAUAUGAAAACUGCCUCUCUCAAUACAAGAUGAUGUACAACUCUUGUACAAGAAAUGUAAAAAAAAAAAGUUUUUGCUAACAGAACUUAACAAUGUUUGAUAAUUCUUUUGGUAUCUCUUGUAUGUUAUAUGACUAAAUUUUGUAAAUAGAUUUUCUCCUGUGAUUUCAGCUUUCUAAUACGGAUUUUACAGCUAUUUAUCAAAAUCUCUGCUGGAACCUUUGUUUGAUCUGUUAACUGUGACUUAACAUAAGCAUUUUUAACCUUUCUAGAAAAAGUUAUACACUGACCCACUGAUAGUCAAAACUACCAUAUACAUUGUAAAAACCUCUAACUUUGACUU